UGGGGAAUAUUGGACAAUGGGGGAAACCCUGAUCCAGCGACGCCGCGUGGGUGAAGAAGGCCUGCGGGUUGUAAAGCCCUUUCGGUUGGGAAGAAAAGUUGCGACUUAACACGUCGCGACCUUGACGUAACCAACUAAAGAAGCACCGGCUAACUCUGUGCCAGCAGCCGCGGUAAUACAGAGGGUGCGAGCGUUAAUCGGAAUUACUGGGCGUAAAGCGCGCGUAGGCGGCUUGGCAAGUCGGGUGUGAAAUCCCCGGGCUCAACCUGGGAACUGCAUUCGAGACUGCUUUGCUAGAGUAUGGGAGAGGGAAGUGGAAUUUCCGGUGUAGCGGUGAAAUGCGUAGAUAUCGGAAGGAACAUCAGUGGCGAAAGCGACUUCCUGGACCAAUACUGACGCUCAUGUGCGAAAGCGUGGGGAGCAAACA
RNAcentral lists this ribosomal RNA (427 nucleotides) under uncultured bacterium. RNAcentral describes it as "bacterial SSU rRNA". It matches the Rfam family "Bacterial small subunit ribosomal RNA", at positions 355 to 774 of the family's 1533-position model. The record is from RNAcentral.